Molecule: transfer RNA, 70 nt
Filed under: Belligobio nummifer
Lineage: Eukaryota; Metazoa; Chordata; Actinopteri; Cypriniformes; Gobionidae
Description: tRNA-Arg
Rfam family: tRNA
About the family: Transfer RNA (tRNA) molecules are approximately 80 nucleotides in length.
Source: RNAcentral
AGGGUGUUAGUCCAAAACAAGACCUCUGAUUUCGGCUCAGAAGAUUGUGGUUUAAGUCCAUAACCCCCUU